Molecule: ribosomal RNA, 429 nt
Filed under: uncultured eukaryote
Lineage: Eukaryota
Description: SSU rRNA
Rfam family: Eukaryotic small subunit ribosomal RNA
Source: RNAcentral
CAAUAGCGUAUAUUAAAGUUAGUUGCGGUUAAAAAGACUCGUAGUUGGAUUUCUUGCCGAGGACGACCGGUCCGCCCUCCUGGGUGAGCAUCUGGCUCGGCCUGGGCAUCUUCUUGGAGAACGUAUCUGCACUUGACUGUGUGGUGCGGUAUUCAGGACUUUUACUUUGAGGAAAUUAGAGUGUUUCAAGCAGGCAUACGCCUUGAAUACAUUAGCAUGGAAUAAUAAGAUAGGACCUCGGUUCUAUUUUGUUGGUUUCUAGAUCUGAGGUAAUGAUUAAUAGGGAUAGUUGGGGGCAUUCGUAUUUAAUUGUCAGAGGUGAAAUUCUUGGAUUUAUAGAAAGACUAACUACUGACGAAGCUAUUUGCCAAGGAUUGUUUUCAUUAAUCAAGAACGAAAGUUAGGGGAUCAAAGACGAUCAGAUACCGU